RNAcentral lists this ribosomal RNA (400 nucleotides) under uncultured bacterium. RNAcentral describes it as "bacterial SSU rRNA". It matches the Rfam family "Bacterial small subunit ribosomal RNA", at positions 355 to 752 of the family's 1533-position model. The record is from RNAcentral.
UGAGGAAUAUUGGUCAAUGGGCGAAAGCCUGAACCAGCCAUGUCGCGUGAAGGAUGAAGGUCCUAUGGAUUGUAAACUUCUUUUGCAGGAGGGUAAAGUGAGCUACGUGUAGUUCAUUGCAAGUACCCUGCGAAUAAGCAUCGGCUAACUCCGUGCCAGCAGCCGCGGUAAUACGGAGGAUGCGAGCGUUAUCCGGAUUUAUUGGGUUUAAAGGGUGCGUAGGCGGACUAAUUAGUCAGCGGUGAAAUUUUGCGGCUCAACCGUAAAACUGCCGUUGAAACUGUUAGUCUUGAGUGCGGUAGAGGUAGGCGGAAUGUGUGGUGUAGCGGUGAAAUGCUUAGAUAUCACACAGAACACCGAUUGCGUAGGCAGCUUACUGGAGCGCAACUGACGCUGAGGC